Molecule: long non-coding RNA, 203 nt
Filed under: Lathyrus oleraceus (garden pea)
Lineage: Eukaryota; Viridiplantae; Streptophyta; Magnoliopsida; Fabales; Fabaceae
Description: Pisum sativum (pea) long non-coding RNA (PSAT_LNC041452)
Source: RNAcentral
UGGAAUCGGGCACGAAAGACAGGACUUUUUUGAGCAUGAGUCACCUUCUCGGAACACACGAGGCUUGACCUUCUUAUCGAAUGCUUUUUCACUCUCUGCUGAUAUGACUGUCCAUGACACAUGGCAGUUGAUCUCUUCCUUUCGAUCGAAUUCAGCAUCAGCCAACUUGGGACUUUGAGGGUGCUAUUUUUUUUUGUUUCUUU